GCAGGGGAUUGUUGUGUGUUUUACACUAUCCAGACUGAGAGUGGGAGCAGGGGAUUGUUGUGUGUUUUACACUAUCCAGACUGAGAGUGGGAGCAGGGGAUUGUUGUGUGUUUUACACUAUCCAGACUGAGAGUGGGAGCAGGGGAUUGUUGUGUGUUUUACACUAUCCAGACUGAGAGUGGGAGCAGGGAUUGUUGUGUGUUUUACACUAUCCAGACUGAGAGUGGGAGCAGGGAUUGUUGUGUGUUUUACACUAUCCAGACUGAGAGUGGGAGCAGGGGAUUGUUGUGUGUUUUACACUAUCCAGACUGAGAGUGGGAGCAGGGAUUGUUGUGUGUUUUACACUAUCCAGACUGAGAUGGGAGCAGGGGAUUGUUGUGUGUUUUACACUAUCCAGACUGAGAGCCUUCAGGAUGAUAAGCACAAGCUUCUCAAGCCCUCUUCUAUGUGUCUGUCUCUUCUGGUCUUUUCGUAAAUGGGGGAUUUUUCUACCUAGGAGUUUUCUUCGUUGGAGUUUGGAAUCCCAUCCACCUAUUUCAUUCGCUCAUCCCAAAUACUCAUUUUAUGUAAGAUAAUACUACCCAAAACCUGAUAAACAUUAGCUGUGAAUUUCUAUGUAAGAACUAGUAAGGAAAAGGUUCAACUCUAAACCUAGUCUGAGGACGCUGAGUUAAAGCUGCAUGUGAAUGCUACUUAAGUGCAUCUUUUCUAUUGUCUCUAGAUGUUUCCUGUGAGAGGUAAAAGUCCUGUAGGCAACAUGUGUAAGAGAGAUGUGAAUAUUCUUCCUUUUUGCCAAAACAAAGAUGCCAACAUGUACCAGGGGUGUAUUCACUAGGAACCAAACAGAAGCAAACGGGCCGAAACGGGGAGGGACUAACCUGAACUUGUCCAAUAACAAACGCACAUUUUUGUUGCAAAUCGUUUUCUGUAGCUAAACAUUUUGCUAUGGUGUCUGCUAAUGAAUACACCCCAGUGAUGUUACUCCAACCCCAAAACAUGUAUUAAGACCUUCAACUUUUCAUACAACAGUGUGUUUCCCCCUCAGUAUACAACAAGACUGAUGUGUCAAUGCAAUAAUGGACCGCAGAUAGCAAGGUUUCCUGGUGGUUUGUGGUAUGUUUCCGGUCUCUCACGGUGUGUAGGGUGGACGAGGAGAGAACAGAUACCCCUGCUGUAACAUGGCUCUUCCUGGCAUGCGUUCAGUUGUCUAAUUAAACAUUUC
Molecule: long non-coding RNA, 1222 nt
Filed under: Salmo salar (Atlantic salmon)
Lineage: Eukaryota; Metazoa; Chordata; Actinopteri; Salmoniformes; Salmonidae
Description: lncRNA (ENSSSAG00000110551.1)
Source: RNAcentral